UGGGGAAUAUUGGACAAUGGGGGCAACCCUGAUCCAGCGAUGCCGCGUGUGUGAAGAAGGCCUGCGGGUUGUAAAGCACUUUAGUUGGGGAGGAAAGGUAUGUACUGCAUAAGUGCAUGCUGUGACGUUACCCAAAGAAUAAGCACCGGCAAACUCUGUGCCAGCAGCCGCGGUAAUACAGAGGGUGCAAGCGUUAAUCGGAAUGACUGGGCGUAAAGGGCGCGUAGGUGGACAUAUAAGUAAAUUGUGAAAGACCCGGGCUUAACCUGGGAAGGUCAAUUUAAACGGUAUGUCUGGAGUGGAGUAGAGGGAAGUAGAAUUUCCGGUGUAGCGGUGAAAUGCGUAGAUAUCGGAAGGAAUACCGGUGGCGAAGGCGUCUUCCUGGACUCUAACUGACACUGAGGCGCGAAAGCAUGGGGAUCAAACAGGAUUAGAUACCCCGGUAGUCCCUGAGCGGGCUGGCAAGGCGCAU
RNAcentral lists this ribosomal RNA (472 nucleotides) under uncultured bacterium. RNAcentral describes it as "bacterial SSU rRNA". It matches the Rfam family "Bacterial small subunit ribosomal RNA", at positions 355 to 825 of the family's 1533-position model. The record is from RNAcentral.